GAAUCUUUCACAAUGGGCGAAAGCCUGAUGGAGCAACUCCGCUUGCAGGAUGACGGCCUUCGGGUUGUAAACUGCUUUUAUAAGCGAGAAAUAUGAUGGUAACUUAUGAAUAAGUAUCGGCUAACUACGUGCCAGCAGCCGCGGUCAUACGUAGGAUCCGAGCAUUAUCCGGAGUGACUGGGUGUAAAGAGUUGCGUAGGUGGCAUGGUAAGUAGAUAGUGAAAUCUGGUGGCUCAACCAUUCAGACUAUUAUCUAAACUGCCAAGCUCGAGACCGUUAGGGGUAACUGGAAUUUCUAGUGUAGGAGUGAAAUCCGUAGAUAUUAGAAGGAACACCGAUAGCGUAGGCAGGUUACUGGGACGGUUCUGACACUAAGGCACGAAAGCGUAGGGAGCAAACG
Molecule: ribosomal RNA, 400 nt
Filed under: uncultured bacterium
Lineage: Bacteria
Description: partial 16S ribosomal RNA
Rfam family: Bacterial small subunit ribosomal RNA
Source: RNAcentral